AGUGAACGCUGGCGGCAGGCCUAACACAUGCAAGUCGAACGGCAGCACAGUAAGAGCUUGCUCUUACGGGUGGCGAGUGGCGGACGGGUGAGGAAUACAUCGGAAUCUACUUUUUCGUGGGGGAUAACGUAGGGAAACUUACGCUAAUACCGCAUACGACCUACGGGUGAAAGCAGGGGAUCUUCGGACCUUGCGCGACUGAAUGAGCCGAUGUCGGAUUAGCUAGUUGGGGGGGUAAGGGCCCACCAAGGCGACGAUCCGUAGCUGGUCUGAGAGGAUGAUCGGCCACACUGGAACUGAGACACGGUCCAGACUCCUACGGGAGGCAGCAGUGGGGAAUAUUGGACAAUGGGCGCAAGCCUGAUCCAGCCAUACCGCGUGAGUGAAGAAGGCCUUCGGGUUGUAAAGCCCUUUUGUUGGGAAAGAAAAGCAGCAGGUUAAUACCCCGCUGUUCUGACGGUACCCAAAGAAUAAGCACCGGCUAACUUCGUG
Molecule: ribosomal RNA, 492 nt
Filed under: uncultured bacterium
Lineage: Bacteria
Description: partial 16S ribosomal RNA
Rfam family: Bacterial small subunit ribosomal RNA
Source: RNAcentral